Molecule: ribosomal RNA, 253 nt
Filed under: uncultured bacterium
Lineage: Bacteria
Description: partial 16S ribosomal RNA
Rfam family: Bacterial small subunit ribosomal RNA
Source: RNAcentral
UACGGAGGGGGCUAGCGUUGUUCGGAAUUACUGGGCGUAAAGCGCGCGUAGGCGGCCUCAUAAGUCCGUUGUGAAAGUCAAAGGCUCAACCUUUGAAAGCCGAUGGAUACUGUGAGGCUAGAGUCCGGAAGAGGCGAGUGGAAUUCCUGGUGUAGCGGUGGAAUGCGCAGAUAUCAGGAGGAACACCAGUGGCGAAGGCGGCUACCUGGACCAGCAUUGACACUCAAGCACGAAAGCGUGGGGAGCAAACAGG